RNAcentral lists this ribosomal RNA (658 nucleotides) under Brevundimonas subvibrioides. Its description in RNAcentral is "bacterial SSU rRNA". It matches the Rfam family "Bacterial small subunit ribosomal RNA", at positions 34 to 736 of the family's 1533-position model. The record is from RNAcentral. Lineage: Bacteria; Pseudomonadati; Pseudomonadota; Alphaproteobacteria; Caulobacterales; Caulobacteraceae.
CGCUGGCGGCAGGCCUAACACAUGCAAGUCGAACGGACCCUUCGGGGUUAGUGGCGGACGGGUGAGUAACACGUGGGAACGUGCCUUUAGGUUCGGAAUAGCUCCUGGAAACGGGUGGUAAUGCCGAAUGUGCCCUUAGGGGGAAAGAUUUAUCGCCUUUAGAGCGGCCCGCGUCUGAUUAGCUAGUUGGUGAGGUAAUGGCUCACCAAGGCUACGAUCAGUAGCUGGUCUGAGAGGAUGACCAGCCACAUUGGGACUGAGACACGGCCCAAACUCCUACGGGAGGCAGCAGUGGGGAAUCUUGCGCAAUGGGCGAAAGCCUGACGCAGCCAUGCCGCGUGGAUGAUGAAGGUCUUAGGAUUGUAAAAUCCUUUCACCGGUGAAGAUAAUGACUGUAGCCGGAGAAGAAGCCCCGGCUAACUUCGUGCCAGCAGCCGCGGUAAUACGAAGGGGGGCUAGCGUUGCUCGGAAUUACUGGGCGUAAAGGGAGCGUAGGCGGACAUUUAAGUCAGGGGUGAAAUCCCAGAGCUCAACUCUGGAACUGCCUUUGAUACUGGGUGUCUUGAGUGUGAUAGAGGUAUGUGGAACUCCGAGUGUAGAGGUGAAAUUCGUAGAUAUUCGGAAGAAACACCAGUGGCGAAGGCGACAUACUGGAUCC